GACAGAGGGUGCAAACGUUGCUCGGAAUCACUGGGCGUAAAGGGUGCGUAGGCGGUUGGGUAAGUCUGACGUGAAAUCUCCGAGCCUAACUCGGAAACUGCGUUGGAUACUAUCCGGCUAGAGGAAUGGAGGGGAGACUGGAAUACUUGGUGUAGCAGUGAAAUGCGUAGAUAUCAAGUGGAACACCAGUGGCGAAGGCGAGUCUCUGGACAUUUCCUGACGCUGAGGCACGAAAGCCAGGGGAGCAAACGGG
Molecule: ribosomal RNA, 253 nt
Filed under: uncultured bacterium
Lineage: Bacteria
Description: partial 16S ribosomal RNA
Rfam family: Bacterial small subunit ribosomal RNA
Source: RNAcentral